GGCCCAUUAGCUCAGUUGGUUAGAGCAUCGUACUAAUAACGCGAAGGUCGCGGGUUCGAUCCCCUCAUUUGCCA
This 74-nucleotide transfer RNA is filed under the name Helicoverpa zea (corn earworm). Its description in RNAcentral is "tRNA-Ile". It matches the Rfam family "tRNA". From Rfam's summary of the family: Transfer RNA (tRNA) molecules are approximately 80 nucleotides in length. Their secondary structure includes four short double-helical elements and three loops (D, anti-codon, and T loops). The record is from RNAcentral. Lineage: Eukaryota; Metazoa; Arthropoda; Insecta; Lepidoptera; Noctuidae.